UUAAGCGACUAAGCGUACACGGUGGAUGCCCUGGCAGUCAGAGGCGAUGAAGGACGUGCUAAUCUGCGAAAAGCGUCGGUAAGGUGAUAUGAACCGUUAUAACCGGCGAUGUCCGAAUGGGGAAACCCAGUGCAAUUCGUUGCACUAUCGUUAACUGAAUACAUAGGUUAACGAGGCGAACCGGGGGAACUGAAACAUCUAAGUACCCCGAGGAAAAGAAAUCAACCGAGAUUCCCCCAGUAGCGGCGAGCGAACGGGGAGCAGCCCAGAGUCUGAAUCAGCUUGUGUGUUAGUGGAACGGUCUGGAAAGUCCGACGGUACAGGGUGAUAGUCCCGUACACCAAAAUGCACAGGCUGUGAACUCGAAGAGUAGGGCGGGACACGUGGUAUCCUGUCUGAAUAUGGGGGGACCAUCCUCCAAGGCUAAAUACUCCUGACUGACCGAUAGUGAACCAGUACCGUGAGGGAAAGGCGAAAAGAACCCCGGCGAGGGGAGUGAAAAAGAACCUGAAACCGUGUACGUACAAGCAGUGGGAGCACCUUCGGGUGUGACUGCGUACCUUUUGUAUAAUGGGUCAGCGACUUAUAUUCUGUAGCAAGGUUAACCGUAUAGGGGAGCCGCAGGGAAACCGAGUCUUAACUGGGCGUUAAGUUGCAGGGUAUAGACCCGAAACCCGGUGAUCUAGCCAUGGGCAGGUUGAAGGUUGGGUAACACUAACUGGAGGACCGAACCGACUAAUGUUGAAAAAUUAGCGGAUGACUUGUGGCUGGGGGUGAAAGGCCAAUCAAACCGGGAGAUAGCUGGUUCUCCCCGAAAGCUAUUUAGGUAGCGCCUCGUGAACUCAUCUUCGGGGGUAGAGCACUGUUUCGGCUAGGGGGUCAUCCCGACUUACCAACCCGAUGCAAACUACGAAUACCGAAGAAUGUUAUCACGGGAGACACACGGCGGGUGCUAACGUCCGUCGUGAAGAGGGAAACAACCCAGACCGCCAGCUAAGGUCCCAAAGUCAUGGUUAAGUGGGAAACGAUGUGGGAAGGCACAGACAGCCAGGAUGUUGGCUUAGAAGCAGCCAUCAUUUAAAGAAAGCGUAAUAGCUCACUGGUCGAGUCGGCCUGCGCGGAAGAUGUAACGGGGCUAAACCAUGCACCGAAGCUGCGGCAGCGACACUAUGUGUUGUUGGGUAGGGGAGCGUUCUGUAAGCCUGCGAAGGUGUGCUGUGAGGCAUGCUGGAGGUAUCAGAAGUGCGAAUGCUGACAUAAGUAACGAUAAAGCGGGUGAAAAGCCCGCUCGCCGGAAGACCAAGGGUUCCUGUCCAACGUUAAUCGGGGCAGGGUGAGUCGACCCCUAAGGCGAGGCCGAAAGGCGUAGUCGAUGGGAAACAGGUUAAUAUUCCUGUACUUGGUGUUACUGCGAAGGGGGGACGGAGAAGGCUAUGUUAGCCGGGCGACGGUUGUCCCGGUUUAAGCAUGUAGGCUGGUUAUCCAGGCAAAUCCGGAUAAUCAAGGCUGAGGUGUGAUGACGAGGCACUACGGUGCUGAAGUAACAAAUGCCCUGCUUCCAGGAAAAGCCUCUAAGCAUCAGGUAACAUCAAAUCGUACCCCAAACCGACACAGGUGGUCAGGUAGAGAAUACCAAGGCGCUUGAGAGAACUCGGGUGAAGGAACUAGGCAAAAUGGUGCCGUAACUUCGGGAGAAGGCACGCUGGUGUGUAGGUGAAGUCCCUGCGGAUGGAGCUGAGACCAGUCGAAGAUACCAGCUGGCUGCAACUGUUUAUUAAAAACACAGCACUGUGCAAACACGAAAGUGGACGUAUACGGUGUGACGCCUGCCCGGUGCCGGAAGGUUAAUUGAUGGGGUUAUCCGUAAGGAGAAGCUCUUGAUCGAAGCCCCGGUAAACGGCGGCCGUAACUAUAACGGUCCUAAGGUAGCGAAAUUCCUUGUCGGGUAAGUUCCGACCUGCACGAAUGGCGUAAUGAUGGCCAGGCUGUCUCCACCCGAGACUCAGUGAAAUUGAACUCGCUGUGAAGAUGCAGUGUACCCGCGGCAAGACGGAAAGACCCCGUGAACCUUUACUAUAGCUUGACACUGAACAUUGAGCCUUGAUGUGUAGGAUAGGUGGGAGGCUUUGAAGCGUGGACGCCAGUCUGCGUGGAGCCAACCUUGAAAUACCACCCUUUAAUGUUUGAUGUUCUAACGUUGGCCCCUGACCGGGGUUGCGGACAGUGUCUGGUGGGUAGUUUGACUGGGGCGGUCUCCUCCCAAAGCGUAACGGAGGAGCACGAAGGUUAGCUAAUCCUGGUCGGACAUCAGGAGGUUAGUGCAAUGGCAUAAGCUAGCUUGACUGCGAGCGUGACGGCGCGAGCAGGUGCGAAAGCAGGUCAUAGUGAUCCGGUGGUUCUGAAUGGAAGGGCCAUCGCUCAACGGAUAAAAGGUACUCCGGGGAUAACAGGCUGAUACCGCCCAAGAGUUCAUAUCGACGGCGGUGUUUGGCACCUCGAUGUCGGCUCAUCACAUCCUGGGGCUGAAGUAGGUCCCAAGGGUAUGGCUGUUCGCCAUUUAAAGUGGUACGCGAGCUGGGUUUAGAACGUCGUGAGACAGUUCGGUCCCUAUCUGCCGUGGGCGCUGGAGAAUUGAGGGGGGCUGCUCCUAGUACGAGAGGACCGGAGUGGACGCAUCACUGGUGUUCGGGUUGUCAUGCCAAUGGCACUGCCCGGUAGCUAAAUGCGGAAGAGAUAAGUGCUGAAAGCAUCUAAGCACGAAACUUGCCCCGAGAUGAGUUCUCCCUGAGACUAUAAGUCUCCUGAAGGAACGUUGAAGACGACGACGUUGAUAGGCCGGGUGUGUAAGCGCAGCGAUGCGUUGAGCUAACCGGUACUAAUGAACCGUGAGGCUUAACCUU
Molecule: ribosomal RNA, 2900 nt
Filed under: Klebsiella pneumoniae
Lineage: Bacteria; Pseudomonadati; Pseudomonadota; Gammaproteobacteria; Enterobacterales; Enterobacteriaceae
Description: bacterial LSU rRNA
Rfam family: Bacterial large subunit ribosomal RNA
Source: RNAcentral